RNAcentral lists this ribosomal RNA (253 nucleotides) under uncultured bacterium. Its description in RNAcentral is "partial 16S ribosomal RNA". It matches the Rfam family "Bacterial small subunit ribosomal RNA", at positions 524 to 776 of the family's 1533-position model. The record is from RNAcentral.
UACGUAGGGCGCAAGCGUUGUCCGGAAUUAUUGGGCGUAAAGAGCUCGUAGGCGGCUUGUCACGUCGGUUGUGAAAGCCCGGGGCUUAACCCCGGGUCUGCAGUCGAUACGGGCAGGCUAGAGUGUGGUAGGGGAGAUCGGAAUUCCUGGUGUAGCGGUGAAAUGCGCAGAUAUCAGGAGGAACACCGGUGGCGAAGGCGGAUCUCUGGGCCAUUACUGACGCUGAGGAGCGAAGGCGUGGGGAGCGAACAGG